This 117-nucleotide ribosomal RNA is filed under the name Candidatus Daviesbacteria bacterium RIFCSPHIGHO2_01_FULL_43_17. RNAcentral also lists the same sequence under 2 other names. Lineage: Bacteria; Candidatus Daviesiibacteriota. The record is from RNAcentral.
UGCGGUGAUUUGAGCGGUGUGGAACCACCCUUUCCCAUUCCGAACAGGGAAGUGAAACAUGCCAGCGCAGACGAUACUAGGGUCGAAAGGCCCCGGGACAAUAUGUCAUUGCCGUAC